This 500-nucleotide unclassified non-coding RNA is filed under the name uncultured Glomus. RNAcentral's name for it is "SSU rRNA". It matches the Rfam family "Eukaryotic small subunit ribosomal RNA", at positions 591 to 1092 of the family's 1831-position model. The record is from RNAcentral. Lineage: Eukaryota; Fungi; Glomeromycota; Glomeromycetes; Glomerales; Glomeraceae.
CCAAUAGCGUAUAUUAAAGUUGUUGCAGUUAAAAAGCUCGUAGUUGAAUUUCGGGAUCAGUAGGUCGGUCGUGCCACUGGUAUGAACUGGUCUCACUGGUUCCUCCCUCUUGACGAACUGCAAUGCUAUUAAUUUAGUGUUGUAGGAAAUCAGGACUGUUACUUUGAAAAAAUUAGAGUGUUUAAAGCAGGCUUUGGCUUGAAUACAUUAGCAUGGAAUAAUGAAAUAGGACGUUCGAUCCUAUUUUGUUGGCUUCUAGGAUUGACGUAAUGAUUAAUAGGGACAGUUGGGGGCAUUAGUAUUCAAUUGUCAGAGGUGAAAUUCUUGGAUUUAUUUAAGACUAACUACUGCGAAAGCAUUUGCCAAGGAUGUUUUCAUUAAUCAAGAACGAAAGUUAGGGGAUCGAAGACGAUCAGAUACCGUCGUAGUCUUAACCAUAAACUAUGCCGACUAGGGAUCGGAUGAUGUUAAUUUUUUAAUGACUCAUUCGGCGCCUUACG